AGAAGGCACGCUGAUAUGUAGGUGAAGUCCCUCGCGGAUGGAGCUGAAAUCAGUCGAAGAUACCAGCUGGCUGCAACUGUUUAUUAAAAACACAGCACUGUGCAAACACGAAAGUGGACGUAUACGGUGUGACGCCUGCCCGGUGCCGGAAGGUUAAUUGAUGGGGUUAGCGCAAGCGAAGCUCUUGAUCGAAGCCCCGGUAAACGGCGGCCGUAACUAUAACGGUCCUAAGGUAGCGAAAUUCCUUGUCGGGUAAGUUCCGACCUGCACGAAUGGCGUAAUGAUGGCCAGGCUGUCUCCACCCGAGACUCAGUGAAAUUGAACUCGCUGUGAAGAUGCAGUGUACCCGCGGCAAGACGGAAAGACCCCGUGAACCUUUACUAUAGCUUGACACUGAACAUUGAGCCUUGAUGUGUAGGAUAGGUGGGAGGCUUUGAAGUGUGGACGCCAGUCUGCAUGGAGCCGACCUUGAAAUACCACCCUUUAAUGUUUGAUGUUCUAACGUUGACCCGUAAUCCGGGUUGCGGACAGUGUCUGGUGGGUAGUUUGACUGGGGCGGUCUCCUCCUAAAGAGUAACGGAGGAGCACGAAGGUUGGCUAAUCCUGGUCGGACAUCAGGAGGUUAGUGCAAUGGCAUAAGCCAGCUUGACUGCGAGCGUGACGGCGCGAGCAGGUGCGAAAGCAGGUCAUAGUGAUCCGGUGGUUCUGAAUGGAAGGGCCAUCGCUCAACGGAUAAAAGGUACUCCGGGGAUAACAGGCUGAUACCGCCCAAGAGUUCAUAUCGACGGCGGUGUUUGGCACCUCGAUGUCGGCUCAUCACAUCCUGGGGCUGAAGUAGGUCCCAAGGGUAUGGCUGUUCGCCAUUUAAAGUGGUACGCGAGCUGGGUUUAGAACGUCGUGAGACAGUUCGGUCCCUAUCUGCCGUGGGCGCUGGAGAACUGAGGGGGGCUGCUCCUAGUACGAGAGGACCGGAGUGGACGCAUCACUGGUGUUCGGGUUGUCAUGCCAAUGGCACUGCCCGGUAGCUAAAUGCGGAAGAGAUAAGUGCUGAAAGCAUCUAAGCACGAAACUUGCCCCGAGAUGAGUUCUCCCUGACCCUUUAAGGGUCCUGAAGGAACGUUGAAGACGACGACGUUGAUAGGCCGGGUGUGUAAGCGCAGCGAUGCGUUGAGCUAACCGGUACUAAUGAACCGUGAGGCUUAACCUU
RNAcentral lists this ribosomal RNA (1207 nucleotides) under Escherichia coli O26:H11. Its description in RNAcentral is "bacterial LSU rRNA". It matches the Rfam family "Bacterial large subunit ribosomal RNA", at positions 1741 to 2925 of the family's 2925-position model. The record is from RNAcentral. Lineage: Bacteria; Pseudomonadati; Pseudomonadota; Gammaproteobacteria; Enterobacterales; Enterobacteriaceae.